RNAcentral lists this ribosomal RNA (252 nucleotides) under uncultured bacterium. RNAcentral's name for it is "partial 16S ribosomal RNA". It matches the Rfam family "Bacterial small subunit ribosomal RNA", at positions 524 to 776 of the family's 1533-position model. The record is from RNAcentral.
UACGUAGGUGGCAAGCGUUGUCCGGAUUACUGGGCGUAAAGGGAGCGUAGGUGGAUAUUUAAGUGGGAUGUGAAAUACUCGGGCUUAACCUGGGUGCUGCAUUCCAAACUGGAUAUCUAGAGUGCAGGAGAGGAAAGUAGAAUUCCUAGUGUAGCGGUGAAAUGCGUAGAGAUUAGGAAGAAUACCAGUGGCGAAGGCGACUUUCUGGACUGUAACUGACACUGAGGCUCGAAAGCGUGGGGAGCAAACAGG